RNAcentral lists this ribosomal RNA (435 nucleotides) under Nocardioidaceae bacterium Ellin7034. Its description in RNAcentral is "bacterial SSU rRNA". It matches the Rfam family "Bacterial small subunit ribosomal RNA", at positions 28 to 478 of the family's 1533-position model. The record is from RNAcentral. Lineage: Bacteria; Bacillati; Actinomycetota; Actinomycetes; Propionibacteriales; Nocardioidaceae.
GACGAACGCUGGCGGCGUGCUUAACACAUGCAAGUCGAGCGGUAAGGCCCCUUCGGGGGUACACGAGCGGCGAACGGGUGAGUAACACGUGAGCAACCUACCCUCAACUUUGGGAUAAGCCUCGGAAACGGGGUCUAAUACCGGAUAAUAUCGAUCGCCUCCUGGUGGUUGGUUGAAAGUUCUGGCGGUUGGGGAUGGGCUCGCGGCCUAUCAGCUUGUUGGUGGGGUAAUGGCCUACCAAGGCGUCGACGGGUAGCCGGCCUGAGAGGGCGACCGGCCACACUGGGACUGAGACACGGCCCAGACUCCUACGGGAGGCAGCAGUGGGGAAUAUUGCGCAAUGGACGAAAGUCUGACGCAGCAACGCCGCGUGAGGGAUGACGGCCUUCGGGUUGUAAACCUCUUUCAGCAGGGACGAAGCGAGAGUGACGGACC